CCUACGGGCGGCAGCAGUGAGGAAUAUUGGUCAAUGGCCGGAAGGCUGAACCAGCCAAGCCGCGUGAAGGACGAAGGUGCCAAGCAUUGUAAACUUCUUUUGUCAAGGGACAAAAUCAGGCUCGAGAGCCUGACCGAGGGUACUUGAAGAAAAAGCAUCGGCUAACUCCGUGCCAGCAGCCGCGGUAAUACGGAGGAUGCGAGCGUUAUCCGGAUUUAGUGGGUUUAAAGGGUGCGUAGGCGGACUGUUAAGUCAGCGGUAAAAGCCCGGGGCUCAACCCCGGCGAGCCGUUGAAACUGGCUGACUUGAGAUGUCGAGAGGUAUGCGGAAUGCGCAGUGUAGCGGUGAAAUGCUUAGAUAUUGCGCAGAACUCCGAUUGCGAAGGCAGCAUACCGGCGGCGAUCUGACGCUGAGGCACGAAAGCGUGGGUAUCGAACAGGAUUAGAUACCCGAGUAGUC
Molecule: ribosomal RNA, 459 nt
Filed under: uncultured bacterium
Lineage: Bacteria
Description: partial 16S ribosomal RNA
Rfam family: Bacterial small subunit ribosomal RNA
Source: RNAcentral